This 443-nucleotide ribosomal RNA is filed under the name uncultured bacterium. Its description in RNAcentral is "partial 16S ribosomal RNA". It matches the Rfam family "Bacterial small subunit ribosomal RNA", at positions 338 to 795 of the family's 1533-position model. The record is from RNAcentral.
CCUACGGGGUGCAGCAGUGGGGAAUAUUGGACAAUGGGGGGAACCCUGAUCCAGCGACGCCGCGUGAGUGAAGAAGUAUUUCGGUAUGUAAAGCUCUAUCAGCAGGGAAGAAAGAAAUGACGGUACCUGACUAAGAAGCCCCGGCUAACUACGUGCCAGCAGCCGCGGUAAUACGUAGGGGGCAAGCGUUAUCCGGAUUUACUGGGUGUAAAGGGAGCGUAGACGGCGAUGCAAGUCUGAAGUGAAAGGCGGGGGCUCAACCCCCGGACUGCUUUGGAAACUGUAUGGCUGGAGUGCAGGAGAGGUAAGUGGAAUUCCUAGUGUAGCGGUGAAAUGCGUAGAUAUUAGGAGGAACACCAGUGGCGAAGGCGGCUUACUGGACUGUAACUGACGUUGAGGCUCGAAAGCGUGGGGAGCAAACAGGAUUAGAUACCCUAGUAGUC